This 195-nucleotide long non-coding RNA is filed under the name Polistes fuscatus (common paper wasp). Its description in RNAcentral is "uncharacterized LOC122525335, transcript variant X1". Lineage: Eukaryota; Metazoa; Arthropoda; Insecta; Hymenoptera; Vespidae. The record is from RNAcentral.
GAGGGGGAUAGACACGUGUUUGACCCGAGUCUGCGACGACGUGGCCAUCCACGUACGCGAAGGGCAGAAUGGAAUCCGACCGAAAUGGAAACCGGAUUUUGCCUUGGUUUUCACUUUAUUCCAGGAUUGAGCACCUCUGUACCAGAAUGAAAAAUCAUGGAAAGAAGAAGAAGAAGAAGAAGAAGAAGAAGAAGA